AUUGAACGAUGGCGGAAUGCUUUACACAUACAGGUCGAACGGCAGCACGGACUUGGGUCUGGUGGCGAGUGGCGAACGGGUGAGUAAUGUAUCGGAACGUGCCCAGUCGUGGGGGAUAACGUAGUGAAAAUUACGCUAAUACAGCAUACGAUCUAUGGAUGAAAGCGGGGGAUCGCAAGACCUCGAGCGCUUGGAGCGGCCGAUAUCAGAUUAGGUAGUUGGUGGGGUAAAGGCCUACCAAGCCAACGAUCUGUAGCUGGUCUGAGAGGACGACCAGCCACACUGGAACUGAGACACGGUCCAGACUCCUACGGGAGGCAGCAGUGGGGAAUUUUGGACAAUGGGCGAAAGCCUGAUCCAGCCAUGCCGCGUGCAGGAUGAAGGCCCUCGGGUUGUAAACUGCUUUUGUACAGAACGAAAAGGUUUCUACUAAUACUAGGAGCUCAUGACGGUACUGUAAGAAUAAGCACCGGCUAACUACGUGCCAGCCGCCGCCGUAA
RNAcentral lists this ribosomal RNA (500 nucleotides) under uncultured bacterium. RNAcentral describes it as "partial 16S ribosomal RNA". It matches the Rfam family "Bacterial small subunit ribosomal RNA", at positions 30 to 523 of the family's 1533-position model. The record is from RNAcentral.